GAGUUUGAUCCCGGCUCAGGACGAACGCUGGCGGCGUGCUUAACACAUGCAAGUCGAACGGAAAGGCCCCGCUCGCGGGGUACUCGAGUGGCGAACGGGUGAGUAACACGUGGGUGAUCUGCCCUGCACUUCGGGAUAAGCCUGGGAAACUGGGUCUAAUACCGGAUAUGACCUCCCUUUAGUGUGGGGGGUGGAAAGAUUUAUCGGUGCAGGAUGAGCCCGCGGCCUAUCAGCUUGUUGGUGGGGUAAUGGCCUACCAAGGCGUCGACGGGUAGCCGGCCUGAGAGGGUGGACGGCCACAUUGGGACUGAGAUACGGCCCAGACUCCUACGGGAGGCAGCAGUGGGGAAUAUUGCACAAUGGGCGGAAGCCUGAUGCAGCGACGCCGCGUGGGGGAUGACGGCCUUCGGGUUGUAAACCUCUUUCGACAGGGACGAAGUGAAAAUGACGGUACCUGUAUAAGAAGCACCGGCUAACUACGUGCCAGCAGCCGCGGUAAUACGUAGGGUGCGAGCGUUGUCCGGAAUUACUGGGCGUAAAGAGCUCGUAGGUGGUUUGUCACGUCGUCUGUGAAAUUCCGGGGCUUAACCUCGGGCGUGCAUGCGAUACGGGCAAUACUUGACUGCUGUAGGGGAGACUGGAAUCCCUGGCUGUACCGGUGAAAUGCGCAGAUAUCAGGAGGAACACCAAUGGCGAAGGCAGUUCUCUGGGCAGUUACUGACGCUGAGGAGCGAAAGCAUGGGUAGCGAACAGGAUUAGAUACCCUGGUAGUCCAUGCCGUAAACGGUGGGCGCUAGGUGUAGGGGACUUCCACGUUCUCUGUGCCGUAGCUAACGCAUUAAGCGCCCCGCCUGGGGAGUACGGCCGCAAGGCUAAAACUCAAAGGAAUUGACGGGGGCCCGCACAAGCGGCGGAGCAUGUGGAUUAAUUCGAUGCAACGCGAAGAACCUUACCUGGGCUUGACAUACACCGGACCGGCGUAGAGAUACGUCUUCCCUUGUGGCCGGUGUACAGGUGGUGCAUGGUUGUCGUCAGCUCGUGUCGUGAGAUGUUGGGUUAAGUCCCGCAACGAGCGCAACCCUUGUCUUAUGUUGCCAGCACGUGAUGGUGGGGACUCAUGAGAGACUGCCGGGGUCAACUCGGAGGAAGGUGGGGAUGACGUCAAAUCAUCAUGCCCCUUAUGUCCAGGGCUUCACACAUGCUACAAUGGUCGGUACAGCAGGUCGCGAACUCGUGAGAGUAAGCCAAUCCUUCAAAGCCGGCCUCAGUUCGGAUUGGGGUCUGCAACUCGACCCCAUGAAGUCGGAGUCGCUAGUAAUCGCAGAUCAGCAACGCUGCGGUGAAUACGUUCCCGGGCCCUGUACACACCGCCCGUC
RNAcentral lists this ribosomal RNA (1376 nucleotides) under uncultured bacterium. RNAcentral's name for it is "bacterial SSU rRNA". It matches the Rfam family "Bacterial small subunit ribosomal RNA". The record is from RNAcentral.